UCAUAAUCAUGUUGAUAUGGGUUCAGCGCUUACUACGUGCACAGCGCUCUUCUCUGCACAUCAGACUGUCUUCCAUCUUUGCUUCGAGGACCCCAGUUAAACUUACCCUUCAGCAGCUGUCUUGGGUGUCCUGUUGCUCUUCAGUCUCAUUAUCACUGCAACCAGAGAAAUAAAGAAAGAUGAGUCUAUCACUGCCUAUCUGAUGGCACAGCCAAGAUCACUGAACAGGAAAGAUGCGGUCCGGGAAGAUAUCAUCACCAAGGAGAAGGAGGAGGAAAGAGGGUCAGGACACCUUUUGGAAGAGCUCAAGAAAAUACAGUUGCUACCAACUGAAGUGUGGCUACCAACUCUGUUAUGUUGUACUUUUCCAAACACUUACUGCAGUGUGCUGCAUAAA
This is a long non-coding RNA of Ornithorhynchus anatinus (platypus), 397 nucleotides long. RefSeq lists it as uncharacterized. NCBI's taxonomy places the organism in Eukaryota, Metazoa, Chordata, Mammalia, Monotremata, Ornithorhynchidae. The record is from RefSeq and is a predicted model, not a curated record. The transcript is spliced from 3 exons.